AAUGUAGGGAAAAUAAAGAGUUAUUGCUCGCACAGGCCCUACCCUGCUGCAUACGUAUCUCAAGAAGGAUUGAGAAUCAGAGCACCGUAGCUCGGCUAACCUAUUUUUAAAAAUCAAUGUAGGGAAAAUAAAGAGUUAUUGCUCGCACAGGCCCUACCCUGCUGCAUACGUAUCUCAAGAAGGAUUGAGAAUCAGAGCACCGUAGCUCGGCUAACCUAUUUUUGUUUGUUUUUUGUUUUUUAGAUGAACGACGUUACUACGCAAUCUACUAGAUGCUCGACCUUUGGAG
RNAcentral lists this long non-coding RNA (289 nucleotides) under Lathyrus oleraceus (garden pea). RNAcentral's name for it is "Pisum sativum (pea) long non-coding RNA (PSAT_LNC014310)". The record is from RNAcentral. Lineage: Eukaryota; Viridiplantae; Streptophyta; Magnoliopsida; Fabales; Fabaceae.